CUUGAUUUAAUUGAUGCUCUAUUUCGAGAUGAUCGAAGAUGUUUGAUCGCACGUGACUGCAUUUUGAAAUCUCUAUAAAAGAGUUCGGGUGCCACUACCGUGUUUGUGUUUGCUUUGAAAGUGUAUUGUUUCAUCCUGAAAGUGUGCCCUAACAUUCGUAAAUAUUUGACAUUGAGAAAUUGACACUUUACUAAAUUAUCUGUUAAGAUAUUUUUUUGUUAAUUAUUCAUUUUGAGUGUAUAUUCUUUUCCUUGGUUAAAGCAUUACAGUGACCCCGUGUGGGGGAUUUGAGUAGUGUGGUUGAGUGAUAAAUUAUCACCUGUGACUUGUUGAACUACUCAGUUUAAAGCAUUGAAGAUC
Non-coding RNA from Pimephales promelas (fathead minnow), 360 nucleotides. Lineage: Eukaryota; Metazoa; Chordata; Actinopteri; Cypriniformes; Leuciscidae. The record is from RefSeq and is a predicted model, not a curated record.